UGGGGAAUAUUGGGCAAUGGGCGCAAGCCUGACCCAGCCAUGCCGCGUGAGUGAUGAAGGCCUUCGGGUCGUAAAGCUCUGUGUGGAGGGAAGAAACCGGACGUGGAUAACACCCACGGCUCUUGACGGUACCUCCUUAGCAAGCACCGGCUAACUCCGUGCCAGCAGCCGCGGUAAUACGGAGGGUGCAAACGUUGCUCGGAAUCAUUGGGCGUAAAGCGCACGUAGGCGGCCUGUUAAGUCGGGUGUGAAAGCCCUGGGCUCAACCCAGGAAGUGCACUCGAAACUGGCGGGCUUGAAUAUGGAAGAGGGUCGCGGAAUUCCCGGUGUAGAGGUGAAAUUCGUAGAUAUCGGGAGGAACACCAGUGGCGAAGGCGGCGACCUGGGCCAAUAUUGACGCUGAGGUGCGAAAAGCGUGGGGAGCAAACA
RNAcentral lists this ribosomal RNA (429 nucleotides) under uncultured Nannocystineae bacterium. RNAcentral describes it as "bacterial SSU rRNA". It matches the Rfam family "Bacterial small subunit ribosomal RNA", at positions 355 to 774 of the family's 1533-position model. Lineage: Bacteria; Pseudomonadati; Myxococcota; Myxococcia; Myxococcales. The record is from RNAcentral.